This 19666-nucleotide long non-coding RNA is filed under the name Lupinus angustifolius (narrow-leaved blue lupine). Its description in RNAcentral is "long non-coding RNA (LANG_LNC001287)". Lineage: Eukaryota; Viridiplantae; Streptophyta; Magnoliopsida; Fabales; Fabaceae. The record is from RNAcentral.
CGAUUCUAAUGUGAGACCAAAGAUAGUCGGCAAUCAAUAUGGAGAAGGCCCAUCCUUUGUGCUUGUCUAUAUCUCAUCUCGUUGAAGAUGUUGAAGCAUGCCUAAAUUUUGGUGGAAUAACAAAAAGUCAGCGUAAAUCAAGUUAAGGAUUCUGAUGGUGUGCAAACAUCAAAGGAACAUCAUUCUAAUAGGAGAAGCAAUAGUGAUCUGCAUCUGGCUUUUAAUGGUGAAGAUAAGACAAAAUCUGCAUCAAUCUGACAGGCCUUUGACAAGGAUGGUGAUGUCGCUUUAAUGGGACUCACCUACAACACAAGGAAAGCCCACAUUAGAUCAUUUGGUGCCCCAUAUGGCAAAGAAGACAACACAGUCAUAUCAAUUGAUGAUUCCUAUGAUAAAGAAGACAUAAAAAUAAUUUCUUUUGAUGGUUUCCCAGAUGAAAAAGGAUGUUAACCCUGUGGGGAGGCCUGACAUAGACUUCAUUCAAUUUUUAUAAUCAAUCUUCAGUUCAUGUGUCAAUACCUUAUGAGAAAGAGAUAGAUGCUUCUAAUGUUGACUAAAUAAAGUUUAAAACCGUGUCCAAGAAUAAGCAAAAGUUCAAAACAACAUGCUUCAACUCAAUUAGUUAUAAGGUGUCGACCUCUUAUACACCACCCUGCACUGGUAAUGGAAUAGUAUCCAGUUUUUUACAUGAGAAAUAAGGUAUUCAUCGCAAAACAGAAACGAUAAAUAGUGGUACCUGAGCAAUAUGCUUAACAGAGAUCAGUUUAAUCAUUACAAAUGAUGCAUACCAUCCUUGCUUUAGACCAGAAUAUUUCCAAGAGCCCUUCGGCAUCAUCAUCAAUAUAAAAGAGGGUAUCCAUGGGCAGCCCAACAUCAGAACAAAAAGGGAAAUCAAUCAGGGAGUUAGGCCAAACACUAGAUAGAGGACAUUAAGCUAAUAAAAGGCUGUAAAGAGAUGGCAUCAGGAAUGGCCUAUGCUGUUACAUAUUUCAAAUAGAAUCAUUAAGCCAAUCCAGCCAUGGACUAUCAGUUAAUAAAAUCUCAUAGGACAGCACUAAGCAGAAGUAAUUCGAAAUUAUUAUCCUCCAGUUACACUUUGAGGCAUUAAUGCAAUGAUAUUAGAGGAAAAUAAAAUGCUAUCGACAGUAAGGGCAUCAAUCAACAAAAUUUCAAAAGGGCUGCACUAAACAGUUACAUUCUGAAGUAAUAACAGAGCAAUAAAGUAUGAAAUUCAAAUCAGUCGGGGGUUACAAAUCAGUGUAGAAAAACAGUAAGGUACUAAGGCAAAGGGAAAUACAAUCAGCCGUGAAUAAUAUCCAGAGAGCAGUUUAGAGCAUUAAUAUUUUAAUUACGGUCAUCAUUAGCAAAUUAUAAAUAGCUCGACAGUUAUCACAUAGUCCUAAUCAGCAUUCAUGGGCAGUUAAAGUAUUGAAAUCAGAAAGCAAAAUUCAUGGGAUUUCAAAAGGGGCAGUUUCAGUCAGUAACUCAAAAAAAGCAAAAAAAGCAAAAGAGAAAGAAUACAAAAAAGAAAGAAAAGCAUUGCAACAGUGAUAAAAAGAGAACAAAUCAGAAAAAUUAGAGAGGAUAACAAGUGAAAAACAUGGAGCAUUCUAGAGAGAAAGGCAGAAAUAUAAACAGAGAGACUGACAUUCAAGCAAAGUCAACUUGUUAUCCGAUGCAAACCGUAGUACGAGUAGUAACCAGAACCGGGAACCACCGUGAAGGUUCGGGUCCCGCCGAUGAAAACCGCACUCGAUCCUUUCCUCGCCCUUAAUAAGCCUCUACGAGGACAGGAAGUUAUAAAAAUGAUAAAAAAUGUAUAAUAAUAGAACAAAGAAGCAAAUGGAGAAGUAAGAGGAGACGAGUGAUGAAAACCAAAGAGAUUAGGAAGGAAUGAGGACCUUUUUUCGGCCGUGAAUGAGAACCGAACCACCGUAAGCCCCGAUGAUUCUUAAUCACCGCUAUCGCAACGCUUCAAGCCGAGUCAUCACCGAAGAAGAGAAAAGAGGGAGAUUUCGUUCGAUGCAUCUUGAAGAGAAAGGGAUUCUCUUCGUCGAUCCCCUCCAACACGGGCUGGAAGGCUUCCUCCAGCUAAAUCCGUGAGCCAUCGUGCUCCUCCGCGCCGAUGAAGGUGGAGCGAUGCAAGAAGGAGGAGUUGGCAAUUAGGGAUUUUAUUCCCAUUUCCCUUUCUGCUGGAUUCCAUGGGUUUGGGGGUGAAAGGGGUUCACCCCUUUUAAUUAUUCCCAUCUCAUUUAACUCCUUUUCUUUAUUUACUCUUUGGUUGAUUUUUUUUUAUUUUUCAUUAUUCCAUCUAUGCAAUUUAAAAUGAAAUGAACAUUAAUUUAUAUGCUGCAUAUCUCAUAACUUUUAUAAUGAUUGCGUAUUCCAACUUUAAGCAACAAGCUAUUUUAUCACUAAAUUCAACCAUCAAUUCCAUAUAAACUAUUUUAUUUAAUAAGACUAUUUUGCUACUAAACUCUAUAUGUAUAAAUAAUAAGAUACACCAACACCGUCUCUAAACUAUUAAUUCUAUAUGUAUAAUUAAUAAUCACCUAAAUUCUAUAUGUACGAAUAAUUAGAAACUAUAUUAUCAAAUUAAUCAUAGAAUUUUUAUAGUAAGGUUAUGGCUCGAGUUGUCUCUAACUUCUCUAAGAAUGAGAAGAAGGUCUACAACCAACACCGUCUCUAAACUAUUAAUUCUAUAUGUAUAAUUAAUAAGCUAUUUUAUUACUAAAAUCAUAUAUCUAUAAAUAAUUAGAAACUAUUAUACUAAAUAAAUUUUAUGGGUUUUUUAGUAAGGUUACGGCUAUUAAUCAUGUAUAUAGAAAAUAAUUCUCCGGCCUAUUUUGCUACCUAAUUCUAAAAAUAACCCAAUAUUAUUUUAGCGAAUAAAUUGGGAUUUUUAUAGUGAGGUUACGGUUCGAGUCGUCUCUAACUCCCUGGAAAUAAGGAGAAGGUCUACGACCAACACCGUUCCUGAACUAUUAGUCUCAUUGAACCAAAAAAAUUAUAUAUUAACAAACUCAAUAAGCUAAUACCUCUAAAACCUAUCGGUAUUUUCCAAAUCAUUAACAAUCAACCAAAGUAGAAGCAAUUAUUUGAAAUAGAACUACGUAAGCCUUGAUCCCCUUAAUAGGGGUACGUAGGACCAAAGUCAAUAUUGUCAGGCUCAAUAAUAAAGAUAAAUAAUUCUAAAUAAAUAAUUGUUAAGGGUAUAAAAGUCUAUGUUAUUAGCGAAUACGGGCGGACGGGGUGCUAAUACCUUCCCCGAUCUGUAAUCGACUCCCGAAUUCAGAAUCUCUAUCUAAAGACCAUUUUAUCCUAAUUGGGCUUACUAUAGAGUUUUCUACGUUUUAACCGCAAAAAACGUAGUGGCGACUCCAAAUCAAUUGGGAGAGGUAGAAAUCGGGUUCACUUCUCUCCAAGUCGUAGAGCCGGUCUUCCAACCGAAAAGCGGGUCGCGACAGUUGGCGACUCCACUGGGGACAUCCUAUAAGAGAGUCAGGCCUUGAACCGCUAAUAACAAGAACUCAAGUACCCUUUUAUUUUUUGUUUGAGUCUUGUUUUUCUUAGGAAUGAAUUAUUAUCUUGAAUUACCUUUGUUGUAUGAUAUGCGAGUUCACGUGUUUGUUUUGCAGCUUAUUGGGGGGUGGGGAACUUCCUACAAAAGGUUUGUAUGCUUCCUCACACACUCACGAGAGUCAACAUGUACCUAUACCCUGAGCCCGGGUAUUAGUGAUUAAGAUCUAAGAUAGAAGGGACAUCUGCUUUGCCGGUAAGUGACCUCGAGUCGCAUCUGGUAUUGGUGGAAUGAACCACCCAGAUCGUUUCUGGUAUUAUGAGUUAAAGGCUUGGAGGGCUCGAUCCUUCUCAUUUUUAACCUAUGAUACCUGGUCUCCUUAAUUUCGGGAUUGGGUGCGAUCUGGUGACCUAGAAGUCUAGAGCUUUACCAAGUCCACUCUAAACAAAAUCUAGUAUCCUCACCUUAGGACGUAACCUAUAAACAUUCCAAGAAUCCCUUGUAAGACGUACCUUAUUUAGGACACAGGAAGCAAACAAUUUCUACUCUUUAUUAUUUACAAUCAUAAAAGUGGGGCGUAGGCCGUAAAUGGCCAGUUCCUUCAACAUCCCCACCAGAGGGCCCAAUGCCCUACGGGAUGCAUUUCAUACACACCCGUUGAUGGGUGCAAACACCCUAAAGACGUAAUUUAUGUUAUAUCAGACUAAUCGAGGUUAUUUCAUUUAAUCCCAUGCUGCAAUUAGUCCCAUUAAUGCGCUCGAGGCCCUAGGGACAAGUUUAUAUCACCAUGUUAUGAAAACAUAAUAUAAUAAAAUCAAGAUUUUACUGCCCCCAUAUAAGGACCAGCAUCCUAGGGGGUAUACAUCAUGCACAUCAUUCAUUCAUGCAUUCAUCCAUGCAUUCUUUAUCUCAUUUAUUUAACACCUUUACGAUUGUCACGCCUUUUGCAGAUUACUUUGUCGAAGAGAAACUGGUAUAGUAAGACAUGGAGACUGAUUCUCAAGUUGUGGGUUCUGUCAGCACUCUAUCAGUGAAAAAAGGAGUGAGGGUAGAAUUACAAGUUAUGGAUGUAAGCUUCCUAGCAGAUCUUGUCCCCAAGAUCCCUCAAGAGGUUCAAGACCAGCUGGCAAGAGAAUAUGGAAGGUUGUCUGACUUGGUCCUCAUCACGGUUGAUAUAGAAACAUUAAAGGGCAUGAAAGACAUGAUCCAGUACUGGAACACUGCUCUACACAUCUUCGAAUUCCCAAAUAUUGAUGCAUCCCCGACUGUGGAGGAGUAUGAGGUCCUACUCGAUAUCGGCUCUUCCAUCACAGAUAUCGAGCUAUCAAACAGGCUAAAGCUGUAUCAGUAUAACGGUACUCAGAAUGUUACAGAAGAGUAUAUCGAGGGGCUGAUCGGGAUGCAUCCCUUGUUCUGGGCAGAGUUACGGCUUUCUGUUUUUGCUUCGAAUGAUAUGGGGCCUAGGUUGCCCAAUAUUUGGGGUCUUUGCAAUGAAAAAACAUCUUGCCGAAAUGGUGGAACAAGGAAAUUGGGAGCUAUUCAAACCCGCUUUUGCUCUAGCAGUAUAUGGUAUGGUCCUAUUCCCUUUCGUUUAUGAUAUGGUAGACCAAGCGACGAUCGAUGUCUUCGCCAAAGUCAAGAGGUUCAGAGUUAACCCCGUUCCAGCAAUAGUCGCAUAAAUUCUCUUAUCUUUCCAAAGGUGUCAUGAAAAAGGCUACCACAAGGUCCGUUGUUGUGUACAUUUACUCUAUGUGUGGAUGAUUACUCGGUUUGCGCAUCACCAAUAUCCAGAUUGGAGCAGGUACCCCCUGCGCCGGUUCAGAAAUAUUGCAAUUAAACCUAUGCAACUGGCGGAUUGGAAGAAACUGUUCAAAGAGGUAACCCCUAGGAAUUUUGGAACAAAGUGUUGCUUAUAUGACAAACAUCAGGCAGUGAUGUACUCAUGUGGAGACUUUCCGAACAUGAUGUUGAUGGGCCCCCGAGGAUGCAUCUCUUUCACCCCAGCCUCAGUACUGGGACAACUGAAAUGGGGGAUGAAUCCGGUACCUCAAGAAAAGUUGCAGGGGAUCACAGUCUGGUAUAGGGACGAGGGAACUACCCGAGAAGUUCUCACAUCUGUUGGGAACGCUCUGAGGAGUAUCCGUCUCUGUGGGAAGAAUGAGCUUGGAGAACACCAAGCCUAUUACACUGAAGAGUACAAAUGCUGGAGGAAUGAAAGGACGAAAUAUGUUAUGUUGCCACCAUCUGAGUCAUCAAAAGAACCGAUCGGGCCAUCCCAUAACGAACUACUACUCGUUAGUCAGAACAAACUUCUGGAAUCAGAGUUGGAAGAGGCCCGAGAUGAAGUAGAGAAAUAAAAAUUGAUGGUGGAGAAGCUUAACAAACCAUCGCUGCACAGAAGAAGGAGGAAGUCAGCUUGAAGCGAGACUAUGCCAGCAUGUGCUCUUCAUCCGACAAAUUCCGCCUGAUCCGAGCUGGCAAAGAAAAAGACAAAAAAAUAACAGAAUUGAUCAGGUCAGAGAAAGAAAAAGAUGAACAGAUAGCCGACAUGGUUGAUCAACUGAAGGCUCGAGGGCGAGCCCUACAUACUACUUAAAGGGAUGUUCACAUGCUGAAAGCAAAAAUAGAGAAUAUGCAUGCCAACCGAAGAGAUGGGAGCCAAACGGGGGCUAUCUUAAAAGAGUAUCAGGAAGCCUUGAUGCGAGCCAGGGAAAGAGAGGAUCAACUGAAUGUUGCGUUGGAUGCUCGUUUCCAAGCAUUGGCUGAAGCAAAUCACGAUAAAACCCAUCUUUCUGAACGAAUGAAGGACCUUGAGGAAGCCUACAAUGAGUUAAAUGCCAAACAUCAUGAGUGGUCACACAACUGGGAGAAUAUGCUCCAGGAGUGUAAAUGGGACAAGGAGAAAUGGGAAGGAAGAUGCAGGCAAAUCAUCGAGGGUCUUGGGGACUUUGCUGAUGAUUGGUUGAGAAACUUUGAUGAUGCCCGCCAGGAGGUGGAAAUGUACCCUGAUACNNNNNNNNNNNNNNNNNNNNNNNNNNNNNNNNNNNNNNNNNNNNNNNNNNNNNNNNNNNNNNNNNNNNNNNNNNNNNNNNNNNNNNNNNNNNNNNNNNNNUGCUGCAUCUGGAGAAUAUUGAGCAUUUUAUGUUUUUCUUCUCCUUUGUUAAAAAUAAAAAGAAAGAGAGAAUCAUAAAGGAAAAUUGUAGUCCUACUAUGAAUAUGAAUAAAAAAUUUCUCCUUUUCUCAGAGUUUAUCCAAGUUGUUAUCUAUACAAGUAUCAUAAGGGCUCAUCAUCUUAUCUAAUAUGCAAGUAAAAAAUUCGUGACAGAGUAAAAACAUCUUGUAAUUAGACACAAUCUUGGUCUGAAGCCUAGAGUUUCUUCUAACGAUUGGUAUCAAAUGUAAACGGUCUUGCGGACUACGCUCCCAAGAUUACCAAAUACAUGACAAGAUGUUUAAUGAUAGUGAUCCACAAUGAGAGAAUAAGCCUAGAUGUAAGCAAGGUCCGAAGCCUAGAGCUUCCUCUGAGUAUUGUUAUCAACACAAGAGAAACUAUUGGGGUGCGCCUCGUAGUCAGCAAAUGCCGGUCAAGAUGUCUUACUAUACCAAGCCUCUCGAAGACAAAGAAAUCAUUUUGCUUUCAUUUUUAUCAUUUAUUUUUCAAAUUUUUAUUUUUCAAAAAUUUAUUUUUCAAAUUUUUAUUUUUCCAAUAACUCAGGUUCUGUAAUCAUUGCACACCAACAUCCUUACAAUACCCGAUCAAAAACAAAGACCAUGGCCGACCAGGAAGCUACUACUGGAGGGAAUCCCGAGGUGAUUGAGCUGAAAGAGCAAAUAGCACUGAUGAUGAGAAUGAUGGUAGCCAUGCAGCAAGAAAUGGCAUCUGGGAAUUCUUCUGUAGCAGAUAAGCGGGCCCAAUCCGCACGUAAUGCCAAUGAAGGGGGGCACAACCAACAGUCUGCCUCUAAGCAUUAGGGUGCAUCACAAGGACAUACCUCGUCAAACAAAGAGAACUCACAACACACCAACCAACAUGACUCGGAUGACGAUCCUAACUACCACGCUCCCAAGAAUGAUAAAAGCACUGCAGGACAUCAAGCUAGUAAAGACACAAACGCGAUGAUAAAGGGAAGGGGAAGGAGGAUGAAAUGUGGGACGUCAUUAAUGAAAGGCUUAAAGCUGUGGAAGGGGCUAACUGUCCCGAUUUAAAGAACGCUUUUGAAAUGUGUCUGGUCCCAGAUGUCGUUCUUCCUCCUAAGUUCAAGGUUCUCGAAUUCGAAAAGUAUGACGGGACUACAUGCCCGAAAAGCCAUCUUCAUAUGUACGCCCGGAAAAUGUCAGCGUACCAUAAUGAUGAUAAGCUGCUGAUUCAUUGCUUUCAAGAUAGCCUUGUGGGGAUCGCCACUUUGUGGUACAUCCGCCUCGAAAGCAAGCACAUUAAGACCUUCCUGGAUCUUUCCAAUGCCUUCAUAAGGCAGUACAAAUUCAAUGAGGACUCUGCGCCGGACCGCAACAAGCUUCAAAGCAUGUCGAAACCGGCAAGUGAAUCAUUCAGGGAAUAUGCACAGAGAUGGAGAGGAGUGGCCUCACAAGUCUUACCCCGUCUGGAGGAAGAAGAGCAGAUCACUAUCUUCAUCAAUACUCUCCCUAACCCUUUCUUCGACAAGAUGAUUGGGAAUAAUACAUGUGAUUUCAAUUCAUUGAUUAGAGUAGGAGACAGAAUUGAGCAAAACAUGAAAACUGGAAAGAUUGCCGCCGAACAAACCGGAGAGCCCAAAAGGCCCAACUACAUGAAAAAAAGAAACUGAAGCCCACUACAUAGCCGGAGAACCCCAAAAGAUGUCAAACAAGAUAAACAACAAUCCCUGUUCAUAUACACACCGCCCUCAACACAACCAAACACCAUACCAACCGAGCUCGCAAAACACAUACCAGAUCCCAUACCAACCAAUAGCCUACAUUAACCACAACCGCCCACCACUUCAACAAAACACAACCUUUCAAUACAACCAACCACAACCAAACCUCUAUCAACCCCGACCACCUAGGCCCAACUAUCAACCAAAUAACCAAGCCCAAAACCAUCAUCCACCCGCGCAAUACCAAACUCAGGAAAGAAGGACUUUCGACCCUAUCCCUAUGACCUAUGCCGAACUAUUCGCCACCUUACAAACAGAGCGCAUCCUAGCACCCAUUCUAGGAAGAGUCCCAAAUACUAUGGCCGCAUGGUACAACCCCAAUGUCAAUUGUGCUUACCAUUCGGGAGUAGUGGGGCAUUCAAUCGAAACUUGUAAGGCAUUAAAACACAGAGUGCAGGAUCUUAUCGAUUCCGGAUGAUUGAAAUUCAAAGACGAUGUUCCCACCAUCACAAACAACCCUUUGCCCAAUCAUGGGAACCAGGGGGUGAAUGUCUUAGAGUGGGAUGAGGCAGACACUAUUAUUGACAGGGUGGAAGACAUAAAGACACCCCUAAAGAUCAUAUUUUUGGAGAUGUGCAAAAGAGGUCUGGUGAAGUGUACGCAAGAUGGUCAACAUGAAGGUGACGUUUGCAUGCUACAUGGGACUACAUACCAUAACAUAGAAGAAUGUUCCAAGUUCAGGUCAUUGAUACAAGAAUUAUUGGACUCCCAGUUGUUGAGGAUCGGGAGGCGAAAUGAAUGUUCUGACAUAUGUGUCAUUGAAAAAGACGAGGAAAGUCCGAGUCCGGUCAUUAUAAGGUAGUUUGUACCAGUAUUCAACAUACCUACUAGCACACCAUCAUAUGCAGCUCCGCCCCGAUGGGCGCCUCAUUUGAGAAAUAUGGGACAUGAGAUAGCAAGACAACCGAGCCCAUUCCCAUAUCAAUCAGACAGAGCCGUCCCUUGGAAGUAUCGAGAGGAAGCCGGAAAAAUGCCAGUUCCAACAAAUGAAGUUGUCCACUUGGCCGGGGUGGGAAAUAUGACAAGGAGCGGAAGGGUUUAUAGCCCCGUUGAGAUAGCCAGUAAAGUCAUCAAUGCGUCUAAAGGCAAAGAAAAAGUUGAUAAGCCAGUAGAUACCAGUUCUGGAGCGGCCCGGGUUGAGAUCCCUCCAUUUGAUGUUGAAAGAGAAGUCACAGAUGAUGAAGCUUGUGAGUUCUUAUGAUUCAUCGGGCAAAGCGAGUAUCAAAUAGUUGACCAGUUGAGUCGCACUCCAGCCAAGGUAUCAUUGUUGUCUUUACUGAUGAAUUCAGAAGCUCACAGAAAGGUCCUACUGAAAGUGCUGAACCAGGCCCAUGUCGACCAUGAUAUAAGUACUAGCAAAUUAGAUGGUAUCGUCAAUAAUAUCAUGGUCGAUAACUUUAUCUCCUUCAGCAAUGAGGAAAUACCGAGUGAAGGAACAGGGCACACCCGUCCUCUCCACAUCUCCAUCAUGUACACAGAUUUUGUAAUAGGAAGGGUGUUGAUAGACAAUGGUGCAUCGCUCAAUGUGAUAACCAAGAGAACAUCGUCUAAAUUACGAGUGGACGAGUCAGCCAUAAAACCAAGUUCAACAGUUGUUCGAGCCUUCGAUGGAGCCCGAAGGGAUGUGCUGGGAGAAAUCGAGCUACCUGUGAAGAUUGGGCCGUGUACUUUCCAGAUCCUAUUUCAGUUCAUGGAUAUCAAUCCGUCGUUCAGCUGUCUAUUGGGAAGGCCAUGGAUCCAUUUCAUCGACGCUAUACCUUCCUCAUUGCAUCAAAAGGUGAAGUUUAUCGCGGGGGGCAAGUUGAUAACCAUCAUGGGUGAAGAAGACAUUCUGGUGUCUCAGCUUAGUGAUACCCCAUACAUAGAAGCUGACACUGAAGCUUUAGAGUCUUCUUUCCGGGCGUUAGAGAUUGCAAGUGCUUCUUCCAAUAGGAGAGGACAUCCUAAACUCAAUCUGCCACCCUCUAAUGUCUCCAUUAACAUGGCGAGGGUCAUGCUAAAGAAAGGAUUCCAGCCAGGAAAAGGUUUAGGGAGAUAUGGUCAGGGAAUUGAAAACACCACAACCCUCCCAAUUAAUAAUGGUCGAUAUGGAUUGGGCUAUAAACCCAGCAAAGCUGAUGAGGACCGACUGGCAGAGGAAAAGAAGAGGAGUACUACUCGUGCGGGGCGUUACAGAAAUGAUAGCAGAAGGAUUCCCAUCCCCCACAUCAGUCAGAGUUUUGUGAGUGCAGGCUUCCCAGAACAGAAACUGAUUGCAAUGAUGAGUGAAGACCAGCCAGAUGAUGAUUUCAGUCAGGUGUACUAGUGCCCUCCAGGCAUGAUCUUGGACAAUUGGACCAUAAAGGAUGUUGCUAGCUGUAUUUAUGGGCCAAUGUAAUUAAAAAUGUUUUAACAUUUAUAAACUUUUUUGGUCACCAUUUGCCUAGCCCUGGGCAUUUGGAUCUCGUGUUAAUAAGGGCAUGUUUUUACUUUCAUCAGUGUGAUUUCUAAUAAAACAAACCAUCGCAUUUCAUUCCAUUUCUUGAACAAUUUUAUAUUGCACUUUCUGCCUAAACAAAUCAAUAAAUUAACCUGAUAUAAACCAAUAAACCAUAAUGCAGAUCUGACAUCGAAUCUAUAUCUAAUGCCAUCAUUAACAAUCACUUGCCAAAUUUUGAUCACCCGAUAAAUCAAGCAGAGGGAUGUGACAGUGACGAAGGCUGCGAAGCGUCACCGGAAUUGCGGAGAUUAGUCAAACAAGAAGGCCAAGAAAUUCAGCCUCAUGGGGAACCCGUCGAGUUGGUGAAUCUAGGUUCAGAGGAAGAAAAGAAGGAGGUUCGGAUAGGCACAAUCAUGGAUAGCACUGAGCAAGAAAAACUCAUUGCGCUUCUACAUGAAUACAAGGAUGUAUUCGCUUGGUCAUAUGAGGAGAUGCCAGGUCUAGAUCGGAAUUUAGUGGAACACAAACUACCGCUACAAGAAGACUCUAAACCGGUAAAACAAAAACUACGAAGGAUGAGGCCAGACAUAUCCUUAAGAGUCAAAGAGGAAGUGGAAAAAUGGUUGGAAGCCAAAUUCGUGACAGUCUCUACAUACCCCAAAUGGGUGGCCAACAUAGUUGCAGUGCCAAAGAAAGGAGGGAAACUCCGGAUAUGUGUUGACUAUAGAGACCUUAAUCGGGCAAGUCCAAAGGAUGACUUCCCUGUGCCACACCUCGAUGUUCUAGUCGAUAGUACAGCCGAUCAUGCUUUAUUCUCAUUCAUGGACGGAUACUCCGGGUACCACCAGAUUAAGAUGGCUCCGGAAGAUAUAGAUAAAACAACCUUCAUUACCCCAUGGGGUACCUUCCGCUAUCUCGUGAUGCCAUUCGGGUUAAAAAAUGCUAUGGCCACCUAUCAAAGGGCCAUGAUUGCCAUUUUUCAUGAUAUGAUGCACAAGGAGAUCGAGGUCUAUGUCGACGAUAUCAUUUGCAAAUCCAAAUCGGAAGAGGAGCAUGUCCCCAAUCUGCGAAAGCUCUUUGAGAGGUUACGAAAGUAUCAGCUCAAAUUGAACCCAGCUAAAUGCAGCUUCGGAGUGAAAUCUGGCAAAGUCUUGGGCUUCAUUGUUAGUCAGAAAGGCAUAGAGGUUGAUCCUGAAAAAAUCAGAGCCAUCGCCGAGAUGCUAGCCCCUAAGACAGAGAAAGAAGUUAGAGGAUUCUUGGGUCGUCUGAACUACAUCUCCCGGUUUAUCUCUCAACUAACUGCAAUUUGUGAACCCAUAUUCAAGUUAUUAAGGAAGAAUCAAGCGGUGACAUGGAAUGAAGACUGCCAAACAACUUUCGAAAAAAUCAAGCAAUACUUGGACAGAACCUCCGAUAUUGAUGCCUCCAGUCCCAGGUCGACCCCUAAUCCUGUAUCUAACAGUGCUGGAUGAGUCCAUGGGUUGUAUUCUAGGACAACAUGAUUACUUAGGGAAGAAAGAGCAGAUCAUUUAUUACCUGAGCAAGAAAUUCACUGAUUGUGAGAAGAGGUAUUCUCUGCUGGAACGCACUUGUUGUGCCUUGGCAAGGGAUCGUAAUACAUGUUGAGCCACACUACUUGGUUGGUAUCUAAAAUGGAUCCAAUUAAAUACAUAUUUGAGAAGCCUAUUAUGACGGGGAGAAUUGCCAGAUGGCAGGUGCUUCUAUCCGAGUAUGAUAUCGUGUAUGUCACCCAGAAGGCAAUAAAAGGAAGUGUCCUCGCCGAUUACCUUGCCAGCCAACCGGUAGACAAAGGGGAUUUGAUUAAUGAGGAAUUCCCUGAUGAAGGGAUUAUGAUGAUAUCUCUAGGCAUGGAAACAGAAGGAGAUAGAUGGACUCUUGUGUUUGACGGGGCUUCCAAUAUACUCGGACACGGAAUAGGGGCAGUAUUGAUCUCCCCGGAGAAUAAAUUCAUCCCGAUUACUGCUCGACUAUGCUUUGACUGCACCAACAACAUCACGGAGUAUGAGGCAUGUGUCUUGGGUUUGGAGGCGGCCUUGGAGUCAAGAAUUAAAUCCAUAGAAGUAUUCGGAGACUCUGCUCUAGUGAUUCAUCAAGUAAAAGGGGAAUGGGAGACCAGAGAUUCUAAGUUGAUACCAUAUAGAGAUCAUAUCCAAAAGUUGAUCGAUCGAUUCGAGGAAAUAGACUUUUACCAUAUCCCAAGGGAAGAUAAUCGGUUGGCUGAUGCUUUGGCAACUUUGUCCUCCAUGUUCCAGAUAGGUGAAAAGGAAAUGCUAGUUAUCAGAAUAGCAAGCAAAGAUCAGCCUGCAUACUGCUAUGAGUAAAGAGUAUCAUGACAUAAUGACAUACCUCAAGAGCAAAGAGUAUCCUUCCGAGGCCACGGAAAAUGAUAAAAGGACUCUACGAAGGUUAGUUAUGGGCUUCUUUCUAAACGAAAACGUGUUGUACAAAAGAAACCAUGACAUGAUGCUACUGAGGUGUGUGGAAGCCAAGGAAGCAGAGAAGAUCAUCCAGGAAAUACAUGAAGGAAUGUUUGGGACCCAUACGAAUGGGCACUCAAUGGCUCGGAAAAUCCUGAGAACAGGCUAUUUCUGGUUAACAAUGGAAAGUGAUUGUUGCGAUCAUGUACGAAAAAGUCACAAAUGCCAGAUUUAUGCUGAUAAUAUUAAUGCAUCUCCCAGCCUGCUAAAUGUUAUGUCUUCCCCAUGGUCGUUUUCUAUGUGGGGUAUGGACGUUAUCAGUCCGAUCGAACCAAAGGCUUCCAACGGUCACCGCUUCAUCUUGGUUGCAAUCGACUAUUUCACCAAGUGGGUCGAGGCGAACUCAUACGCAAGCGUAACUCGUAACGUGGUACUCAAGUUUAUAAAAAAGGAGUUGAUUUGCCGCUAUGGUUUGCCUCAGAAAAUUAUCACAGAUAAUGCUACCAAUCUCAACAACAAGAUGAUGACGGAGAUGUGUGAGGAAUUCAAAAUCAAACAUCACACUUCUUCGCCUUACAGACCUAAGAUGAACGGGGCAGUGGAGGCAGCAAAUAAAAAUAUAAAGAAGAUAGUCCAGAAAAUGAUGGUGACCUACAGAGAUUGGCAUGAUAUAUUACCAUAUGCACUUCAUGGUUAUCGGACUUCUGUCCGCACAUCAACUGGGGCAACACCCUACUCGCUGGUUUAUGGGGUGGAAGCAGUGCUGCCGAUAGAAGUCGAAAUCCCGUCACUAGGAGUGCUCGCUGAAGCUGAAUUAGAAGAGGCAGAAUGGGUCCAAGCUCGACAUGGUCAGUUGAAUCUUAUUGAAGGGAAGAGGUUGGCAGCCAUAUGUCAUGGUCAAUUAUACCAGAGGAGGAUCAUGAGGGCACAUGCUAAGAAGGUACGCCCUCGAGCAUUCCGGGAAGGUGACUAGUACUGAAGAAGAUUUUACCUAUUCAGAAGGAUCACCGGGGAAAAUGGACACCCAAUUACGAAGGCCCGUAAGUGGUAAUGAAAGCGUUCUCAGGGGGAGCUCUCAUUCUGACCAACAUGGACGGAGAAGACCUUCGUCUCUCCGUAAACUCUGAUGCAGUGAAGAAGUACUAUGCUUGAGGCGACUUCCUAAAAAAAAAGAUGAAAAAAAAGAAAAAAACAAAAAAGAAGGAGAAAAAGAAACUCAAUUUCUUAGGAAUAUUAAUGUAAUGAACACGAUCGUUAUUUAUAAAAUUGCAUACAUGUUUUAAGCGAAAAUGGAGAAUGAUGUAGACAAAUUCCCUAAAGGUGUGAAUUCUCGAAUAAAUGUUUCCGAUGACACAAGGCUUCUUUGUAACUCCUAAACACUUAUGAAGAUAUCCCUAGUCACCCUAUUUUAGCCCAGACUUUAUGAAGAAUGAUCAAAAUAAAAACCCUAAAAAGACAUUAAUAACCGGGGAAGGGUAGUUUUUCCAAUAUUUCCUAUAAUUCAAAAGAACAAUGCUUCAAAUCAAGUAGUGAGAAUCUAGAAAUCUCAAAGUAGAAGAAAAAUGAGAAAGGUCCGCUAAGAUACUCAAGAGAUCUUAGGCAAAAAUUAGGACAAAAACACAUCAGAUCCUCACUUGUCAAUACUAAAACGAAGCAAUAAAAUCACGAGAGGAAUCAUUGGAAAUAGGAUAUCGGAGAAAAGGAGAUGUAGUGGGAAGGGAAACACAAUUUGAGCCUUAAUAUCCAUUUUUUUGUAAGCCAUUUAACCAGGCCACGAUUCAAGCCCAAAAAGUCCUUGUUGAGGAAUAAUUUGUUUGGAACCAUGCUAGGGUAAAAAGCAAACUGACUCCAGAAGGAAACGUUUUAAGUGCACUCAUAUUUUGUAAACCAAAACUCGCACAAAGUGAUAAUUACGUUAAUAUUUCUAAAAAAUAAAAAGAAAAAGAACAUCCUGGUAGGUCGAAAACCUGAAAGGGCGGCCUAGGCAAAAGUUAGGGAUUAUCAUUAAAGAAAGUCGUUCUCAAUCGGAAGAAUGAUCACUCAGGAAGACAUCAAAGUAAGAUACUGGGGGCAGGUUCAUUGGAUGAGUAGUCUCACCCANNNNNNNNNNNNNNNNNNNNNNNNNNNNNNNNNNNNNNNNNNNNNNNNNNNNNNNNNNNNNNNNNNNNNNNNNNNNNNNNNNNNNNNNNNNNNNNNNNNNAAAAAAAACUCGUUCAAAUCUAUACCUCCACAUGUUAAUAUAAAGUCAUACCUUGUUCAUUAUCCCUCAUAUAUUAAUGCAUGAGUUGUUUUUGUGAAAAUACACUGAUGAAUAAUAAUAUGACCUUUUGCGAUAAUUAAUCAGAACAAGUAAUCGAGCAGCAUGGCCAUCCGUAAAGAAGAGCUGAAAUCAUGUCAAUAUAAAGCUUUAUUACUAGAGCUUCCACACCAAAUGAAAUUGGAACUUCAGAUUGUAAGGAUGCUCAAAAUCAAAUUCAAUGAUAACGGACUUGUAAAAUGAAAACAAUCAAGAUUUUCUCAAUAAAUGAUUCAAACAUUACAAGCAAAAAACCACACAUCAUGCAUUGCAUAUUCACAAACUAAAAAACAUCUGCAUUUACUUUUAUUGUCUCGAGUUCCGGCAGUACCUGACCAGCGUUCUCGCAAGUACUUUUAUUGUCUCGAGUUCCGGCAGUACCUGACCAGCGUUCUCGCAAGUACUUUUAUUGUCUCGAGUUCCGGCAGUACCUGACCAGCGUUCUCGCAAGUACUUUUAUUGUCUCGAGUUCCGGCAGUACCCGACCUGCGUUCUCGCAUUUACUUUUAUUGUCUCGAGUUCCGGCAGUACCCGACCUGCGUUCUCGCAUCUACUUUUAUUGUUCCGAGUUCCGGCAGUACCCGACCUGCGUUCUCGCAUUUACUUUCAUUGUCUCGAGUUCCGGGAGUACCCGACCUGUGACCUGCGUUCUCGCAGUUACUUUUAUUGUCUCGAGUUCCGGCAGUACCCGACCUGCGUUCUCGCAUUUACUUUCAUUGUCUCGAGUUGUGGUAGUACCCGACCUGCGUUCUCGCAUUUACUUUCAUUGUCUCGAGUUCCGGGAGUACCCGACCUGUGUUCUCGCAUUUACUUUUAUUGUCCCGAGUUCCGGCAGUACCCGACCUGCGUUCUCGCAUUUACUUUUAUUGUCCCGAGUUCCGGCAGUACCCGGCCUGCGUUCUCGCAUUUAUCUUUUUAUUAUUUCGAGUUCCAGCAGCAUCCGACCUGCGUCCUCGCAUUACCUUUUGUUAUUAUCAAGUUCCAGCAGUACCCAACCUGCGUUCUCACUUUACCAAUUAUCUCUAUCUCACUUAAGGUUGUAUAGUUUCUUUCGCCCAUUUGUACCAAAAUUGACGUUCAUUUCUUUACUAACUGCUUACAGAAAUAGCAACCAAUCCUCAGUUUGUCUACUACUUAGUAAGCAAUGAGUAAAGAGGGGCAGUUGUGAACACUCAAUUUUUGUCCUACCCAAUUUCACAGUCUCCUUGCAUCGGUUGACUCAUAAGAGUUUCCCUGAUCAGUAGACAUUCAAUUUGUUAAGAGUUUAUCAUCUUGUAUGUUCAUUAUUAUUUUUUUGUGUGUGCUCAUCAGACCGAUCAUAAGUCUUGUAAUGUUGAAAGUGCAAGCACGUUACCCAUGAUUAAGUUGAUAUAGGUAAUGAUUUUUAACACAAGCCUUAGACAAAAGAUGUGAAGAUCUUAAAUAUGAUUUUUAUGAAGAACUUGUAAUUCACAGAUUCCCUGAACUUUGUUUUAAAGAUUAGAUUAAGGAAUGAAUUCGUCUCACAGGAUUGUAAGAGUCAAAGCGUGAGUGCUCACAUUUUUAUAUGAAGGACAAUCUAUACCCGUCAAUCCUUGGUCUUAAUAUGGCAAGAAAAAUAAUAGAGUACCUGCAUAUUCAAAAUAGAAAGUGAAGUUCAAGAUCUUUAAGUGGAAAAUUGUCUCACUGGGAGAACAAUCCUAAUUUCCAUUUAAUCCCAAAUAUCUGUCAGUUGUUUAAGUUUGAAAAUAAGCAUGUCAAUUUUGCUGAAAAUAAUACAUUUUAUGUUCUGGUUGGCGAUUCUAAUGUGAGACCAAAGAUAGUCGGCAAUCAAUAUGGAGAAGGCCCAUCCUUUGUGCUUGUCUNNNNNNNNNNNNNNNNNNNNNNNNNNNNNNNNNNNNNNNNNNNNNNNNNNNNNNNNNNNNNNNNNNNNNNNNNNNNNNNNNNNNNNNNNNNNNNNNNNNNUUCAUUCAAUUUUUAUAAUCAAUCUUCAGUUCAUGUGUCAAUACCUUAUGAGAAAGAGAUAGAUGCUUCUAAUGUUGACUAAAUAAAGUUUAAAACCGUGUCCAAGAAUAAGCAAAAUUUCAAAACAACAUGCUUCAACUCAAUUACUUAUAAGGUGUCGACCUCUUAUACACCACCCUGCACUGGUAAUGGAAUAGUAUCCAGUUUUUUACAUGAGAAAUAAGGUAUUCAUCGCAAAACAGAAACGAUAAAUAGUGGUACCUGAGCAAUAUGCUUAACAAGGAUCAGUUUAAUCAUUACAAAUGAUGCAUACCAUCCUUGCUUUAGACCAUAAUAUUUCCAAGAGCCCUUCGGCAUCAUCAUCAAUAUAGAAGAGGGUAUCCAUGGGCAGUCCGACAUCAGAACAAAAGGGAAAUUAAUCAGGGAGUUAGGCCAAACACUAGAUAGAGGACAUUAAGCUAAUAAAAGGCUGUAAAGAGAUGGCAUCAGGAAUGGCCUAUGCUGUUACAGAUUUCAAAUAAAAUCAUUAAGCCAACCCAGCCAUGGACUAUCAGUUAAUAAAAUCUCAUAGGACAGCACUAAGCAGAAGUAAUACGAAAUUAUUAUCCUCCAGUUACACUUUGAGGCAUUAAUGCAAUGAUAUUAGAGGAAAAUAAAAUGCUAUCGAUAGUAAGGGCUAUCAAUCAACAAAAUUUCAAAAGGGUUGCACUAAACAGUUACAUUCUGAAGUAAUAACAGAGCAAUAAAGUAUGAAAUUCAAAUCAGUCGGGGGUUACAAAUCAGUGUAGAAAAACAGUAAGGUACUAAGGCAAAGGGAAAUACAAUCAGCCGUGAAUAAUAUCCAGAGAGCAGUUUAGAGCAUUAAUAUUUUAAUUACGGUCAUCAUUAGCAAAUUGUAAAUAGCUCGACAGUUAUCACAUAGUCCUAAUCAGCAUUCAUAGGCAGUUAAAGUAUUGAAAUCAGAAAGCAAAAUUCAUGGGAUUUCAAAAGGGGCAGUUUCAGUCAGUAACUCAAAAGGUUUUUGCAUUGACUCAUACUCAGCUAUAAAUAGCAGCUCCAUUCAUAACCAGAGGAACAUUGAUACACACAUACAUUCAGCCAAAAAAGCAAAAGAGAAAGAAUACAAAAAAGAAAGAAAAGCAUUGCAAUAGUGAUAAAAAGAGAACAAAUCAGAAAAAUUAGAGAGGAUAACAAGUGAAAAACAGGGAGCAUUCUAUAGAGAAAGGCAGAAAUAUAAACAGAGAGAGUGACAUUCAAGCAAACUUAAUCCAAAAUAGACUUACGUUUCACAAGCAUUACAAAGUGGUAGAACCCGUAUCAUACGACAGGAAGCAUAUAUUCAGGUAACCAUUCAAACGAAAUAGGUAUCAUAACAUGUCUUAUUUUAGGUGAUUUAUGCAUCGAAGUUAUAGGAAUAAAUUAUAAACCGAUUUAAUCGGCCAUUUCGCAGAAACUCACAUAAGUAUAAUAGGCUAGAAUAUAAAAUAGAGCAUGAACGAAAUUGGUUUUAAUCUAUGUAUUUCCACCAGUUAAAGAGAUUUGUUUUAGUCCAUGUAUUCCCACCAGUUAAAGACCAAACACUCAUCGAUGUUGACAUAACAGAUUAAAUUCAUGCUCUAAAAUCAAAUAGAAAGGAUAAAAGAUCAAAGAGGGAUACCGAAGUAGAAAAAUGCGAUUUCCAUUCUCGAUGUCAUCUUGUUAUCCGAUGCAAACCGUAGUACGAGUAGUAACCAGAACCGGGAACCACCGUGAAGGUUCGGGUCCCGCCGAUGAAAACCGCACUCGAUCCUUUCCUCGCCCUUAAUAAGCCUCUACGAGGACAGGAAGUUAUAAAAAUGAUAAAAAAUGUAUAAUAAUAGAACAAAGAAGCAAAUGGAGAAGUAAGAGGAGACGAGUGAUGAAAACCAAAGAGAUUAGGAAGGAAUGAGGACCUUUUUUCGGCCGUGAAUGAGAACCGAACCACCGUAAGUCGCGAGGAUUCUUAAUCACCACUAUCGCAACGCUUCAAGCCGAGUCAUCACCGAAGAAGAGAAAAGAGGGAGAUUUCGUUCGAUGCAUCUCGAAGAGAAAGGGAUUCUCUUCGUCGAUCCCCUCCAACACGGGCUGGAAGGCUUCCUCUAGCUAAAUCCGUGA